GACGAACGCUGGCGGCGUGCCUAAUACAUGCAAGUCGAACGAACUCUGGUAUUGAUUGGUGCUUGCAUCAUGAUUUACAUUUGAGUGAGUGGCGAACUGGUGAGUAACACGUGGGAAACCUGCCCAGAAGCGGGGGAUAACACCUGGAAACAGAUGCUAAUACCGCAUAACAACUUGGAACGCAUGGUCCGAGUUUGAAAGAUGGCUUCGGCUAUCACUUUUGGAUGGUCCCGCGGCGUAUUAGCUAGAUGGUGGGGUAACGGCUCACCAUGGCAAUGAUACGUAGCCGACCUGAGAGGGUAAUCGGCCACAUUGGGACUGAGACACGGCCCAAACUCCUACGGGAGGCAGCAGUAGGGAAUCUUCCACAAUGGACGAAAGUCUGAUGGAGCAACGCCGCGUGAGUGAAGAAGGGUUUCGGCUCGUAAAACUCUGUUGUUAAAGAAGAACAUAUCUGAGAGUAACUGUUCAGGUAUUGACGGUAUUUAACCAGAAAGCCACGGCUAACUACGUGCCAGCAGCCGCGGUAAUACGUAGGUGGCAAGCGUUGUCCGGAUUUAUUGGGCGUAAAGCGAGCGCAGCGGUUUUUUAAGUCUGAUGUGAAAGCCUUCGGCUCAACCGAAGAAGUGCAUCGGAAACUGGGGAACUUGAGUGCAGAAGAGGACAGUGGAACUCCAUGUGUAGCGGUGAAAUGCGCAGAUAUAUGGAAGAACACCAGUGGCGAAGGCGGCUGUCUGGUCUGUAACUGACGCUGAGGCUCGAAAGUAUGGGUAGCAAACAGGAUUAGAUACCCUGGUAGUCCAUACCGUAAACGAUGAAUGCUAAGUGUUGGAGGGUUUCCGCCCUUCAGUGCUGCAGCUAACGCAUUAAGCAUUCCGCCUGGGGAGUACGGCCGCAAGGCUGAAACUCAAAGGAAUUGACGGGGGCCCGCACAAGCGGUGGAGCAUGUGGUUUAAUUCGAAGCUACGCGAAGAACCUUACCAGGUCUUGACAUACUAUGCAAAUCUAAGAGAUUAGACGUUCCCUUCGGGGACAUGGAUACAGGUGGUGCAUGGUUGUCGUCAGCUCGUGUCGUGAGAUGUUGGGUUAAGUCCCGCAACGAGCGCAACCCUUAUUAUCAGUUGCCAGCAUUAAGUUGGGCACUCUGGUGAGACUGCCGGUGACAAACCGGAGGAAGGUGGGGAUGACGUCAAAUCAUCAUGCCCCUUAUGACCUGGGCUACACACGUGCUACAAUGGAUGGUACAACGAGUUGCGAACUCGCGAGAGUAAGCUAAUCUCUUAAAGCCAUUCUCAGUUCGGAUUGUAGGCUGCAACUCGCCUACAUGAAGUCGGAAUCGCUAGUAAUCGCGGAUCAGCAUGCCGCGGUGAAUACGUUCCCGGGCCUUGUACACACCGCCCGUCACACCAUGAGAGUUUGUAACACCCAAAGUCGGUGGGGUAACCUUUUAGGAACCAGCCGCCUAAGGUGGGACAGAUGAUUAGGGUG
This 1488-nucleotide ribosomal RNA is filed under the name Lactiplantibacillus plantarum. RNAcentral's name for it is "bacterial SSU rRNA". It matches the Rfam family "Bacterial small subunit ribosomal RNA". Lineage: Bacteria; Bacillati; Bacillota; Bacilli; Lactobacillales; Lactobacillaceae. The record is from RNAcentral.